GAUGAAGAACGUAGCGAAAUGCGAUACGUAAUGUGAAUUGCAGAAUUCAGUGAAUCAUCGAAUCUUUGAACGCAAAUUGCGCUCUCUGGUAUUCCGGAGAGCAUGCUUGUUUGAGUAUCAGUAAACACCUCAACUCCCCUUUCUUUUUUUGAAAUGGGAGCUGGACUUGAGUGAUCCCAACGCUUUUCUCACCGAAAAGUGGCGGGUUACUUGAAAUGCAGGUGCAGCUGGACUUUUCUCUGAGCUAAAAGCAUAUCUAUUUAGUCUGCCUAAAAAACAGAUUAUUACCUUUGCUGCAGCUAACAUAAAGGAGAUUAGUUCUUGUGCUGACUGAUGCAGGAUUCACAGAGACAGCUUCGGCUGGCCUUUGUAAACUCGAUCUCAAAUCAAGUAAGACUACCCGCUGAACUUAAGCAUAUCAAUAAUCGGAGGA
This 433-nucleotide unclassified non-coding RNA is filed under the name soil metagenome. RNAcentral describes it as "partial contains 5.8S ribosomal RNA, internal transcribed spacer 2, and large subunit ribosomal RNA". The stretch from base 1 to 120 matches the Rfam family "5.8S ribosomal RNA", at positions 35 to 154 of the family's 154-position model. The record is from RNAcentral.